GCCAAUGGUUCAGUGGAAGUAGAACACUGCACUUAUAUUGCAGUCAAAAUGUCAUGGGUUUGAGACCCACUCAUGGGCA
This is a non-coding RNA of Dryococelus australis, 79 nucleotides long. NCBI's taxonomy places the organism in Eukaryota, Metazoa, Arthropoda, Insecta, Phasmatodea, Phasmatidae. The record is from the annotation of a GenBank genome assembly.